AUUGAACGCUGGCGGCAUGCUUUACACAUGCAAGUCGAACGGUAACGCGGGCUUCGGCCUGGCGACGAGUGGCGAACGGGUGAGUAGAACAUCGGAACGUGUCCUUCAAGUGGGGGAUAGCCCGGCGAAAGCCGGAUUAAUACCGCAUGAGCUCUUUGGAGGAAAGCGGGGGACCUUCGGGCCUCGCGCUUGAGGAGCGGCCGAUGCCGGAUUAGCUUGUUGGUGAGGUAAGAGCUCACCAAGGCGACGAUCCGUAGCUGGUCUGAGAGGAUGAUCAGCCACACUGGAACUGAGACACGGUCCAGACUCCUACGGGAGGCAGCAGUGGGGAAUUUUGGACAAUGGGGGCAACCCUGAUCCAGCCAUGCCGCGUGCGGGAAGAAGGCCUUCGGGUUGUAAACCGCUUUCAAACGGGACGAAAUGGAUAAGGUUAAUAGCCUUGUUUGAUGACGGUACCGUAAGAAGAAGCACCGGCUAACUACG
This 483-nucleotide ribosomal RNA is filed under the name uncultured beta proteobacterium. RNAcentral describes it as "bacterial SSU rRNA". It matches the Rfam family "Bacterial small subunit ribosomal RNA", at positions 30 to 505 of the family's 1533-position model. Lineage: Bacteria; Pseudomonadati; Pseudomonadota; Betaproteobacteria. The record is from RNAcentral.